GGUCGCCUACGGGGCGCAGCAGUCGGGAAUAUUGCACAAUGGAGGAAACUCUGAUGCAGUGACGCCGCGUGCAGGAAGAAGGUUUUCGGAUUGUAAACUGCUUUAGAUAGGGAAGAUAAAAGACUGUACCUAUAGAAUAAGCUCCGGCUAACUACGUGCCAGCAGCCGCGGUAAUACGUAGGGAGCAAGCGUUAUCCGGAUUUAUUGGGUUUAAAGGGUGCGUAGGCGGUCCGUUAAGUCAGCGGUGAAAUUGCGGGGCUCAACCCCGUCGAGCCGUUGAAACUGGCAGACUUGAGUUGGCGAGA
This 305-nucleotide ribosomal RNA is filed under the name uncultured bacterium. RNAcentral describes it as "bacterial SSU rRNA". It matches the Rfam family "Bacterial small subunit ribosomal RNA", at positions 333 to 655 of the family's 1533-position model. The record is from RNAcentral.